Molecule: ribosomal RNA, 495 nt
Filed under: uncultured bacterium
Lineage: Bacteria
Description: partial 16S ribosomal RNA
Rfam family: Bacterial small subunit ribosomal RNA
Source: RNAcentral
GACGAACGCUGGCGGCGUGCCUAAUACAUGCAAGUAGAACGCUGAAGGAGGAGCUUGCUUCUCUGGAUGAGUUGCGAACGGGUGAGUAACGCGUAGGUAACCUGCCUGGUAGUGGGGGAUAACUAUUGGAAACGAUAGCUAAUACCGCAUAAUAGCAGUUGUUGCAUGAUAACUGUUUGAAAGGUGCAAUUGCACCGCUACCAGAUGGACCUGCGUUGUAUUAGCUAGUUGGUGGGGUAACGGCUCACCAAGGCGACGAUACAUAGCCGACCUGAGAGGGUGAUCGGCCACACUGGGACUGAGACACGGCCCAGACUCCUACGGGAGGCAGCAGGAGGGAAUCUUCGGCAAUGGACGGAAGUCUGACCGAGCAACGCCGCGGGAGGGAAGAAGGUUUUCGGAUCGUAAAGCUCUGUUGUAAGAGAAGAACGAGUGUGAGAGUGGAAAGUUCACACUGUGACGGUAUCUUACCAGAAAGGGACGGCUAACUACGUG